This 1103-nucleotide ribosomal RNA is filed under the name Dermatobia hominis (human botfly). RNAcentral's name for it is "eukaryotic LSU rRNA". It matches the Rfam family "Eukaryotic large subunit ribosomal RNA", at positions 51 to 883 of the family's 3401-position model. Lineage: Eukaryota; Metazoa; Arthropoda; Insecta; Diptera; Oestridae. The record is from RNAcentral.
GGGAGGAAAAGAAACUAACAAGGAUUUUCUUAGUAGCGGCGAGCGAAAAGAAAUCAGUUCAGCACUAAGUCACUUUGUUAUAUAUGGGCAAAUGUGAGAUGCAGUGUAUGGAAUGUCAAAUUUCUAGUAUGAGAAAUUAAUGAUUUAAGUCCUUCUUAAAUGAGGCCAUUUACCCAUAGAGGGUGCCAGGCCCGUAUAACAUUAAUGAUUAUUAGAUGGCAUUUCCAAAGAGUCGUGUUGCUUGAUAGUGCAGCACUAAGUGGGUGGUAAACUCCAUCUAAAACUAAAUAUAACCAUGAGACCGAUAGUAAACAAGUACCGUGAGGGAAAGUUGAAAAGAACUCUGAAUAGAGAGUUAAAUAGUACGUGAAACUGCUUAGAGGUUAAGCCCGAUGAACCUGAAUAUCCAUUAUAGGAAAUUCAUCAUUAUGAUUGUUAUAUAUAGAAAUAUAUAUUAUAAUAAUGGUGUGCAUUUUUUCUAUAAAAGGACAUUGUAAUCUAUUAACAUAUAAAGAAAUAUUUAUCAUAAGAUCGUUGGCAAGAGUUUAUUCGAAUUAUUUUACAAUUUUAUAUUGUGAUCUAACAUAGGAUAAAUGCUUUUGAUUUGAUAAAGUGUUGAUAGAUUUAUGUGAUGUGUAUAGUGCUUAAAUAUAUUAUUUUAUAAUAUAUUUUAUAAUGAAAGAGCAUAAAAGAUAAUUUUAUGUUUUUUUUUUUAUUAUAUGCACUUAUAUGAUUAACAAUGCGAAAGAUUCAGGAUACCUUCGGGACCCGUCUUGAAACACGGACCAAGGAGUCUAACAUAUUUGCAAGUUAUUGGGAUAACAAAAGAAAACCUAAUGGCGUAAUUAACAUAACUUAUAUUAUAAAUUUUAUAAAAUGGGAUAAAUUUUUAGAGAUAAAAAGAAAAAAGAAUUUUUUUUUCUUUUAUAAUCUAUUAAUACAAUCCCGGGGCGUUCUGUAAAGUUAUGUAUAAUGAUAUUUUUUAUAUUAUUUAUACCUCUAACUAGAGCGUACCUUGAGCAUAUAUGCUGUGACCCGAAAGAUGGUGAACUAUACUUGAUCAGGUUGAAGUCAGGGGAAACCCUGAUGGAAGACCGAAACAG